GUCUCCGUGUGCCGCUCCCAAUCAACCCGCGUUUGCCCCAGCCUCCUAUCGCACGGAAACGGAGUCCUGCUGGGGUCUCCUUAACUGGGGGUUCCAGCGCUUCCGCGCACAACGUGCGCUUACGGACCGUCCGUGGACGUUACUGUGAACAAAACAGCGUGUUCAAAGCAAGUGGCUUGCCUGCCCUGCAUGUUAAAGCAUGGAAUAACAAGGCAUCGACCACUCGGUGGUGCUUUUGUUGGUCUUUCCCUCCCGGUGGGAAUGCGCAGGCGUGCACACUGCCGGCCUUCUGGCCGGUCUGGGUGCCGUCUCUUCGAGAUCAAUAGGGGCAAACGGGGAGAUACCUAUUGUGGGGAGAGCGGUGAAAUGCGAUGACCCCCAUAAGAGGAACUUCAGCGAAAGCAGUUCUCAAGACUGCCUUCGUUAAUCAAGAACGAGACUGUGGGGAUCAAAGAUGAUCAGAUACCGUCGUAGUCCACUAGCGUAAACGAUGCCGACUCAUCAUUGGGGGGCAUCUCUAACAGCGCCCCCC
RNAcentral lists this ribosomal RNA (532 nucleotides) under uncultured marine eukaryote. RNAcentral's name for it is "bacterial SSU rRNA". It matches the Rfam family "Eukaryotic small subunit ribosomal RNA", at positions 719 to 1081 of the family's 1831-position model. The record is from RNAcentral.